AUACGGAGGGAGCAAGCGUUAUUCGGAAUCACUGGGCGUAAAGGACGCGUAGGCGGGUUUGUAAGUCAGGUGUGAAAUCCUACAGCUCAACUGUAGAACUGCACUUGAAACUACAGACCUAGAGUAUGGAAGGGGCAGAUGGAAUUAUUGGUGUAGGGGUAAAAUCCGUAGAUAUCACUAGGAAUACCGAAAGCGAAGGCGAUCUGCUGGGACAUUACUGACGCUGAGGCGUGAAAGCGUGGGGAGCAAACAGGAUUAGAAACCCUAGUAGUCC
This 274-nucleotide ribosomal RNA is filed under the name uncultured bacterium. RNAcentral describes it as "partial 16S ribosomal RNA". It matches the Rfam family "Bacterial small subunit ribosomal RNA", at positions 523 to 796 of the family's 1533-position model. The record is from RNAcentral.